This 170-nucleotide ribosomal RNA is filed under the name uncultured bacterium. Its description in RNAcentral is "partial 16S ribosomal RNA". It matches the Rfam family "Bacterial small subunit ribosomal RNA", at positions 338 to 523 of the family's 1533-position model. The record is from RNAcentral.
CCUACGGGAGGCAGCAGUGGGGAAUUUUCCGCAAUGGGCGAAAGCCUGACGGAGCAACGCCGCGUGAGGGAUGAAGGCCUCUGGGCUGUAAACCUCUUUUAUCAAGGAAGAAGAUCUGACGGUACUUGAUGAAUAAGCCACGGCUAAUUCCGUGCCAGCAGCCGCGGUAA